This 55-nucleotide transfer RNA is filed under the name Xylobanus sp. UPOL A00091. RNAcentral's name for it is "partial tRNA-Ser". Lineage: Eukaryota; Metazoa; Arthropoda; Insecta; Coleoptera; Lycidae. The record is from RNAcentral.
AAAGAAAUAUACUUAAAAAAGCUUCUAACUUUUUAUAAAGCAUUAAAUUGUUUAU